UACGUAGGGACCAAGCGUUGUUCGGAUUUACUGGGCGUAAAGGGCGCGUAGGCGGCGCUGUAAGUCACUUGUGAAAUCUCCGGGCUUAACUCGGAACGGUCAAGUGAUACUGCAGUGCUAGAGUGCAGAAGGGGCAACUGGAAUUCUCGGUGUAGCGGUGAAAUGCGUAGAUAUCGAGAGGAACACCUGCGGUGAAGGCGGGUUGCUGGGCUGACACUGACGCUGAUGCGCGAAAGCUAGGGGAGCGAACGGG
RNAcentral lists this ribosomal RNA (253 nucleotides) under uncultured bacterium. RNAcentral describes it as "partial 16S ribosomal RNA". It matches the Rfam family "Bacterial small subunit ribosomal RNA", at positions 524 to 776 of the family's 1533-position model. The record is from RNAcentral.